This 636-nucleotide unclassified non-coding RNA is filed under the name Hevea brasiliensis (rubber tree). The record is from RNAcentral. Lineage: Eukaryota; Viridiplantae; Streptophyta; Magnoliopsida; Malpighiales; Euphorbiaceae.
CCUCUAAAUGGGCUCGAGAUGAUGAUGACAGUGAUGAUGAGCAAAAAAGAAGCACUAGAGGUUUGGGGUUGAGCUACUCGUCCUCUGGAAGUGAAAAUGCUGGUGAUGAUCCAGGUAAGGCUGAUGAUGAAACGGAGUUUGCUACUGAUGCAAGUGUUCCCAUGCAACCUGACAGCGGGAUGAAUGAAGAGCAGAGGCAGAAGUUGAGACGUUUGGAGGUUGCUUUGAUGGAAUAUCGUGAAUCCCUUGAGGAGCGAGGGAUAAAAAGUGCAGAGGAAAUUGAGAGCAAAGUUGCAAUCCAACGGAAACGGCUAGAGUCAGAAUAUGGUUUAUUGGAAGAUGUUCCUGGGAACAGUAAGAGAACAUCUUCAGAAAGGAGGGAUAGAAGGGAUGGUAGCCGUGAAUCUUCAAGAAAGCGACACCGUAGCCAGAGCAGAAGCCAGAGCCCACAACGGAAAACAUUAACCAGGGACAAUGAGAGGGAAAAUGAUUCUGACAGGGAGCGGGAAAGGCACAGGGAUAGAAAUAGAGCUCAUGAUUUGGAAAGUGAAAGGUGUGAGAGGGAUCGCCAUGAAAAGAGUGGGAGUAAAGAGCGGGAUGAUCACGGCAGAGAGAGAGGUAGAGAAAGAGAGAGAG